ACAAUGGGGGCCCAAGGUGAGAUGAAGCUGUAGUCUCACUGGAAGGACUAGAGG
Molecule: long non-coding RNA, 54 nt
Filed under: dengue virus type 2
Lineage: Riboviria; Orthornavirae; Kitrinoviricota; Flasuviricetes; Amarillovirales; Flaviviridae
Description: Dengue virus type 2 partial sfRNA4
Rfam family: Flavivirus DB element
About the family: These DB elements are thought to be required for efficient translation.
Source: RNAcentral